Molecule: ribosomal RNA, 509 nt
Filed under: uncultured Desulfobulbus sp.
Lineage: Bacteria; Pseudomonadati; Thermodesulfobacteriota; Desulfobulbia; Desulfobulbales; Desulfobulbaceae
Description: bacterial SSU rRNA
Rfam family: Bacterial small subunit ribosomal RNA
Source: RNAcentral
CGCCUUGCCAGCCCGCUCAGAACUUAAAGGAAUUGACGGGGCCCGCACAAGCGGUGGAAUAUGUGGUUUAAUUCGAUGCAACGCGAAGAACCUUACCUGGUCUUGACAUCCCGGAGACCCUUAGGAAACUAGGGGGUGCUUCCAUCUGGAAGAAUCUGGAGACAGGUGCUGCAUGGCUGUCGUCAGCUCGUGUCGUGAGAUGUUGGGUUAAGUCCCGCAACGAGCGCAACCCUUGCCUUUAGUUGCCAGCAGUUCGGCUGGGCACUCUAAAGGGACUGCCGGUGUUAAACCGGAGGAAGGUGGGGAUGACGUCAAGUCCUCAUGGCCUUUAUGACCAGGGCUACACACGUACUACAAUGGCCGAUACAAAGGGCAGCGACACUGCGAGGUGAAGCCAAUCCCGUAAAAUCGGUCUCAGUCCGGAUUGGAGUCUGCAACUCGACUCCAUGAAGUUGGAAUCGCUAGUAAUCGUGGAUCAGCAUGCCACGGUGAAUACGUUCCCGGGCCUU